Molecule: transfer RNA, 72 nt
Filed under: Camelus bactrianus (Bactrian camel)
Lineage: Eukaryota; Metazoa; Chordata; Mammalia; Artiodactyla; Camelidae
Also listed under: 2 other names
Rfam family: tRNA
About the family: Transfer RNA (tRNA) molecules are approximately 80 nucleotides in length. Their secondary structure includes four short double-helical elements and three loops (D, anti-codon, and T loops).
Source: Rfam by way of RNAcentral
GAGGGCAUAGCUCAGUGGUAGAGCACAUGCUUAGUAUGCACGAGGUCCUGGAUUUAAUCCCCAGUACCUCCA